RNAcentral lists this ribosomal RNA (486 nucleotides) under uncultured bacterium. Its description in RNAcentral is "partial 16S ribosomal RNA". It matches the Rfam family "Bacterial small subunit ribosomal RNA", at positions 29 to 507 of the family's 1533-position model. The record is from RNAcentral.
AUUGAACGCUGGCGGCAUGCCUUACACAUGCAAGUCGAACGGCAGCACGGGUGCUUGCACCUGGUGGCGAGUGGCGAACGGGUGAGUAAUACAUCGGAACAUGUCCUGUAGUGGGGGAUAGCCCGGCGAAAGCCGGAUUAAUACCGCAUACGAUCUACGGAUGAAAGCGGGGGACCUUCGGGCCUCGCGCUAUAGGGUUGGCCGAUGGCUGAUUAGCUAGUUGGUGGGGUAAAGGCCUACCAAGGCGACGAUCAGUAGCUGGUCUGAGAGGACGACCAGCCACACUGGGACUGAGACACGGCCCAGACGCCUACGGGAGGCAGCAGUGGGGAAUGUUGGACAAUGGGCGAAAGCCUGAUCCAGCAAUGCCGCGUGUGUGAAGAAGGCCUUCGGGUUGUAAAGCACUUUUGUCCGGAAAGAAAUCCUUGGCCCUAAUACGGUCGGGGGAUGACGGUACCGGAAGAAUAAGCACCGGCUAACUACGUG